GGAUGCGAUCAUACCAGCACUAAAGCACCGGAUCACAUCAGAACUCCGAAGUUAAGCGUGCUUGGGCGAGAGUAGUACUAGGAUGGGUGACCUCCUGGGAAGUCCUCGUGUUGCAUUCC
This is a non-coding RNA of Triticum aestivum (bread wheat), 119 nucleotides long. The record is from Rfam. NCBI's taxonomy places the organism in Eukaryota, Viridiplantae, Streptophyta, Magnoliopsida, Poales, Poaceae.